AAAGGAAUAGACGGGGGCCCGCACAAGCAGCGGAGCGUGUGGUUUAAUUCGAUGCGACACGAAGAACCUUACCUAGGUUUGACAUGCAAGUAGUAGUGAAGCGAAAGCGGAACGACCCUUCGGGGAGCUUGCACAGGUGCUGCAUGGCUGUCGUCAGCUCGUGUCGUGAGAUGUUGGGUUAAGUCCCGCAACGAGCGCAACCCUUGUCGCUAGUUACACGUGUCUAGCGAUACUGCCGGUCUUAAACCGGAGGAAGGUGGGGAUGACGUCAAGUCAGCAUGGCCUUUAUAUCUAGGGCUACACACACGCUACAAUGGGCAGUACAAUGGGCAGCAAAGGGGCGACCUGGAGCGAAUCUCAUCAAAGCUGUUCGUAGUUCGGAUUGUAGGCUGCAACUCGCCUACAUGAAGCUGGAGUUGCUAGUAAACGCAGGUCAGCUAUACUGCGUUGAAUACGUUCCCGGGCCUUGUACACACCGCCCGU
Molecule: ribosomal RNA, 483 nt
Filed under: uncultured bacterium
Lineage: Bacteria
Description: bacterial SSU rRNA
Rfam family: Bacterial small subunit ribosomal RNA
Source: RNAcentral